CCCCGCACGGGCGAAUUUUGACUGAUAGCAGAUAGCCUUCCCCUCGUUAGCCACUGCCCAAGCUGGGAAUGGAAUGGACAGGCCUCUGCUUGACUCUCCCUCCCGUUGCCGAGACUGAGAGAGUGCUGGAGACUCUCCAGAUGCGACCCUGAGAGAGAUAUGUUCAAUCAGAAGAUGGUCUAUUACAGUACGGUAUAAAUUUACUGGACAGAACUGUAGACUACUUAAAAAUGCUCGUAGUUUCCAAGAGCCAGGAUUUCCUCAAAAGUUAUAGGAGAUGAGUGACAAAUUCCAACCCUCUGUUGGAAAAACAGUCUUAAAGGAAUAUGAAGAUGCAAGAGAGCGAAAGCAAGAGCAGCAAAUGCAUCGACAGUUAAGAGGCCUAGAAUUCGAAAACCCUGGCCCUGUGUUGGCAGAAUUCAAUCCUAACAAGAGGGAACUAGAAAAGAAAGCUCAACUUUCAAAGAUGAAGAAGUACUUCAAGUCAAGCAUCGCUUUGCCGAAGUACGACCAAGAUGGACUGCUGCUGUGUAACGGUGUAGACCUAUGUGACUGCCUGGAGCGAUGUUGCCCGGGUUGCUUCUAUCCGUGUCCCGUGUGUUCAUCAAGCAAAUGUGGGCCCACUUGCCGCUGUAAUCGAAAGUGGGUUUAUGAGAGCAUUCAAACCGAAGCUGGUGAAAUCAGUGAAAUGCCAUUUCUUGUUCCUGAUUGAAAGUCUGUUAUUUGGGAACUUGAUUUUUCUAGAAUAGAUUUAAGUUGACCUUUCUUAAAUUGUAUUGUUGGGAGAAAAUGUUGUAUAAAUAGUACUGAAGUCUGUACUUUGAAAGCAUAAUACAGUGAAGAUUCACUUUGCUACGUUAUUUUUAGUUUUCAUGAAAACUUCAUUUUUUAAAGACUGUGAAUGCUUGUACUAACGUUUCCAGGAUCAGCUCUGACAGUGGAAUUGGGUGGCCUUGGGCAAGUCACUACCUUGUAUCUGUGCUUCAGUUUCCCAGUCUGUAAAAUGGGGUUUAAAUGCUUGAUGUCCCUUCCACCUUAGAUUGAGUGGUCCCAUGUGGGACAAGGACUCUGACCUGAUCACCUUGUAUCUACCCUUAAAUCUUUAAUAAAACUUUAUUAACCCAC
RNA transcript from Ornithorhynchus anatinus (platypus), 1125 nucleotides. It is a transcript of the gene named ADP ribosylation factor like GTPase 14 effector protein like, with no coding region annotated. Lineage: Eukaryota; Metazoa; Chordata; Mammalia; Monotremata; Ornithorhynchidae. The record is from RefSeq and is a predicted model, not a curated record. The transcript has 5 exons.